ACUUUUCAUACAGACAUAGUGAAUAGGCAAUAUUAGGAUCACAAUUCUUGGGGCAAGCUUUUGGGUGGUUGGGGUCAGACUCUCCCUCACAAAUGAAAGUCCCGUCAGCAUUGUAAUAGUUGCAACCCUUGAGGCCUGCACAACAAUUGGUGCAUAUGGGUUGUUCUGCACUUGCUUCGGAACGUGGACACUUUGAAUAGAAAAUUCUUGGAUCACAGUUCAGAGUGCAAGGUUUUGGGUUGUUGGGGUCAGACUCUCCUUCACAAAUGAAGGUCCCGUCAGCACUGUAAUAGUUGCAACCCUUACGACCUGCACAGCAAUUGGUGCAUAUGCGAUUUUCUGCGUUUCCUUCGGAACGUGGACACUUUGAAUAGAAAAUUCUUGGAUCACAGUUCAAAGUACAAGGUUUUGGGUUGUUGGGGUCAGACUCUCCUUCACAAAUGAAGGUCCCGUCAGCACUGUAAUAGUUGCAACCCUUACGACCUGCACAGCAAUUGGUGCAUAUGCGAUUUUCUGCGUUUCCUUCGGAACGUGGACACUUUGAAUAGAAAAUUCUUGGAUCACAGUUCAAAGUACAAGGUUUUGGGUUGUUGGGGUCAGACUCUCCUUCACAAAUGAAAGUCCCAUCAGCACUGUAAUAGUUGCAACCCUUACGGCCUGCACAACAAUUGGUGCAUAUGGGUUCUUU
Molecule: long non-coding RNA, 688 nt
Filed under: Capsicum annuum
Lineage: Eukaryota; Viridiplantae; Streptophyta; Magnoliopsida; Solanales; Solanaceae
Description: long non-coding RNA (CANN_LNC004237)
Source: RNAcentral